This 387-nucleotide unclassified non-coding RNA is filed under the name soil metagenome. Its description in RNAcentral is "partial contains 5.8S ribosomal RNA, internal transcribed spacer 2, and large subunit ribosomal RNA". The stretch from base 1 to 120 matches the Rfam family "5.8S ribosomal RNA", at positions 35 to 154 of the family's 154-position model. The record is from RNAcentral.
GAUGAAGAACGUAGCGAAAUGCGAUAACUAAUGUGAAUUGCAGAAUUCCGUGAAUCAUCGAGUCUUUGAACGCACAUUGCGCCCAUUAGUAUUCUAGUGGGCAUGCCUGUUCGAGCGUCAUUAAUUCCACUUAAGCCCUGCUUAGUGUUGGGAAUCUACUCUAGUGGUGCUACCCUGGAGCUACCCCUGAAAGGGGGCUGGCCCGGUAGCUACCCUGUAGUUCCUCAAAGAUAGUGCGCGGAGUUGCGUGGUCCUCUGAGCUUAGUAACUAUACACCUAGCUUUUGAGUGUCCCGCGGCGCCUGCCGUUUAAACCCCAUCUUUUAAUGGUUGACCUCGGAUCAGGUAGGAAUACCCGCUGAACUUAAGCAUAUCAAUAAGCGGAGGA